GAUGAACGCUGGCGGCGUGCCUAAUACAUGCAAGUCGAGCGAACAGAUGAGGCGCUUGCUCCUCUGACGUUAGCGGCGGACGGGUGAGUAACACGUGGAUAACCUCCCUAUAAGACUGGGAUCACUUCGAGAAACCGGAGCUAAUACCGGAUAAUAUAUUUAACCGCAUGGUUCAAUAUUGAAAGACGGUUUUGCUUUCACUUAUAGAUGGAUCCGCGCCGCAUUAGCUAGUUGGUAAGGUAACGGCUUACCAAGGCAACGAUGCGUAGCCGACCUGAGAGGGUGAUCGGCCACACUGGAACUGAGACACGGCCCAGACUCCUACGGGAGGCAGCAGUAGGGAAUCUUGCGCAAUGGGCGAAAGCGUGACGGAGCAACGCCGCGUGAGUGAUGAAGGUCUUCGGAUCGUAAAACUCUGUUAUUAGGGAAGAACAAAUGUGGAAGUAAAUAUGCACGGAUUGACGGUACCUAAUCAGAAAGCCACGGCUAACUACGUG
Molecule: ribosomal RNA, 497 nt
Filed under: uncultured bacterium
Lineage: Bacteria
Description: partial 16S ribosomal RNA
Rfam family: Bacterial small subunit ribosomal RNA
Source: RNAcentral